GACGAACGCUGGCGGCGUGCUUAACACAUGCAAGUCGAACGGAAAGGCCCUGCUUUUGUGGGGUGCUCGAGUGGCGAACGGGUGAGUAACACGUGAGUAACCUGCCCUUGACUUUGGGAUAACUUCAGGAAACUGGGGCUAAUACCGGAUAGGAGCUCCUGCUGCAUGGUGGGGGUUGGAAAGUUUCGGCGGGUGGGGAUGGACUCGCGGCUUAUCAGCUUGUUGGUGGGGUAGUGGCUUACCAAGGCUUUGACGGGUAGCCGGCCUGAGAGGGUGACCGGCCACAUUGGGACUGAGAUACGGCCCAGACUCCUACGGGAGGCAGCAGUGGGGAAUAUUGCACAGUGGGCGGAAGCCUGAUGCAGCAACGCCGCGUGCGGGAUGACGGCCUUCGGGUUGUAAACCGCUUUCGCCUGUGACGAAGCGUGAGUGACGGUAAUGGGUAAAGAAGCACCGGCUAACUACGUG
RNAcentral lists this ribosomal RNA (468 nucleotides) under uncultured bacterium. Its description in RNAcentral is "partial 16S ribosomal RNA". It matches the Rfam family "Bacterial small subunit ribosomal RNA", at positions 28 to 507 of the family's 1533-position model. The record is from RNAcentral.